This 520-nucleotide ribosomal RNA is filed under the name uncultured Glomus. RNAcentral describes it as "SSU rRNA". It matches the Rfam family "Eukaryotic small subunit ribosomal RNA", at positions 569 to 1091 of the family's 1831-position model. The record is from RNAcentral. Lineage: Eukaryota; Fungi; Glomeromycota; Glomeromycetes; Glomerales; Glomeraceae.
AGCAGCCGCGGUAAUUCCAGCUCCAAUAGCGUAUAUUAAAGUUGUUGCAGUUAAAAAGCUCGUAGUUGAAUUUCGGGGCCAGUAGGUCGGUCGUGCCACUGGUAUGAACUGGUCUCACUGGUCCCUCCCUCUUGAAGAACCGUGAUGCCAUUAAUUUGGUGUUGCGGGGAAACAGGACUGUUACUUUGAAAAAAUUAGAGUGCUUAAAGCAGGCUUACGCUUGAAUACAUUAGCAUGGAAUAACGAAAUAGGACGAUCGAUUCUAUUUUGUUGGUUUCUAGGGUCGACGUAAUGAUUAAUAGGGAUAGUUGGGGGCAUUAGUAUUCAAUUGUCAGAGGUGAAAUUCUUGGAUUUAUUGAAGACUAACUACUGCGAAAGCAUUUGCCAAGGAUGUUUUCAUUAAUCAAGAACGAAAGUUAGGGGAUCGAAGACGAUCAGAUACCGUCGUAGUCUUAACCAUAAACUAUGCCGACUAGGGAUCGGAUGAUGUUAAUUUUUAAUGACUCAUUCGGCGCCUUAC